Molecule: ribosomal RNA, 548 nt
Filed under: uncultured bacterium
Lineage: Bacteria
Description: bacterial SSU rRNA
Rfam family: Bacterial small subunit ribosomal RNA
Source: RNAcentral
AAUAGAUACCCGGGUAGUCCACGCCCUAAACGAUGUCAACUGGUUGUUGGAGGGGUUCCCUUUCAGUAACGAAGCUAACGCGUGAAGUUGACCGCCUGGGGAGUACGGCCGCAAGGUUGAAACUCAAAAGGAAUUGACGGGGACCCGCACAAGCGGUGGAUGAUGUGGUUUAAUUCGAUGCAACGCGAAAAACCUUACCUACCCUUGACAUGUCUGGAAUUCUGCAGAGAUGUGGAAGUGCUCGAAAGAGAGCCAGAACACAGGUGCUGCAUGGCCGUCGUCAGCUCGUGUCGUGAGAUGUUGGGUUAAGUCCCGCAACGAGCGCAACCCUUGUCAUUAGUUGCUACGAAAGGGCACUCUAAUGAGACUGCCGGUGACAAACCGGAGGAAGGUGGGGAUGACGUCAGGUCCUCAUGGCCCUUAUGGGUAGGGCUACACACAUCAUACAAUGGCCGGGUACAGAGGGCUGCCAACCCGGCGAGGGGGAGCUAAGUCCCAGAAAACCGGUCGUAGUCCGGAUCGCAGUCUGCAACUCGCUGCGUGGUAAC